AAAGCAGAUCAGGUGACUACUGUGUACUUAUAUAGUACAGGGAGGAAAGUCCGGGCUCCAAAGGGCAGGGUGUCCUCCCGAUGAAAUUUCGGGAGAGACCUAGCAAUGGGAGGAAAGUGCCACAGAAAUUAAACCGCUCCUAUGUUAUAUGGGAGAAAGGGUGAAACGGCGUGGUAAGAGCACACCCCUCUCUGAUAAAUAUUCAGAGUAUGAGGUAAACCCCACCAGGAGCAAGGCCAAAUAGGAGAGCAAUGGAAAUUGCCCGUUUCCUUAAGACUCUCGGGUAGGCUGCUUAGAGAAAUUGUCACCGAAUACAGAACUCGGCUUAUGAUCUGCUUUAAGG
Molecule: RNase P RNA, 343 nt
Filed under: Candidatus Omnitrophota bacterium
Lineage: Bacteria; Pseudomonadati; Candidatus Omnitrophota
Description: Candidatus Omnitrophica bacterium RNase P RNA component class A
Rfam family: Bacterial RNase P class A
About the family: Ribonuclease P (RNase P) is a ubiquitous endoribonuclease, found in archaea, bacteria and eukarya as well as chloroplasts and mitochondria. Its best characterised activity is the generation of mature 5'-ends of tRNAs by cleaving the 5'-leader elements of precursor-tRNAs.
Source: RNAcentral